GCUUAGAGAGGGGUCAAUGUCCUAUCAGCUAGUUGGUAAGGUAAUGGCUUACCAAGGCUAAGACGGGUAGCCGGCCUGAGAGGGUGGUCGGCCACACUGGGACUGAGACACUGCCCAGACUCCUACGGGAGGCUGCAGUCGAGAAUCUUUCGCAAUGCCCGAAAGGGUGACGAAGCGACGCCGCGUGUGGGAAGAAGGCCUUCGGGUUGUAAACCACUGUCGGGAGUUAAGAAAUGUAAGGGUGUUAAUAGCAUCCUUACUUGACUAAGGCUCCGGAGGAAGCCACGGCUAAUUCUGUGCCAGCAGCCGCGGUAAUACAGAGGCGGCAAGCGUUGUUCGGAAUUAUUGGGCGUAAAGAGCACGUAGGCGGCUUUGUAAGUCAGUUGUGAAAGCCUUCCGCUUAACGGAAGAACAGCAUCUGAUACUGCAAGGCUAGAGUGCGGAAGGG
RNAcentral lists this ribosomal RNA (448 nucleotides) under uncultured Planctomycetota bacterium. RNAcentral describes it as "bacterial SSU rRNA". It matches the Rfam family "Bacterial small subunit ribosomal RNA", at positions 217 to 656 of the family's 1533-position model. The record is from RNAcentral. Lineage: Bacteria; Pseudomonadati; Planctomycetota.